This is a transfer RNA of Camelus ferus (Wild Bactrian camel), 72 nucleotides long. It matches the Rfam family "tRNA". Rfam says of the family: Transfer RNA (tRNA) molecules are approximately 80 nucleotides in length. Their secondary structure includes four short double-helical elements and three loops (D, anti-codon, and T loops). NCBI's taxonomy places the organism in Eukaryota, Metazoa, Chordata, Mammalia, Artiodactyla, Camelidae. The record is from Rfam.
GAGGGUAUACCUUAGUGGUAGAGUGCAUGCUUAGCAUGCAGGAGGUCCUGGGUUCAAUCCCCAGUACCUCCA